GGAAAAACAAUGAUGGAUCAUAGUGCUUGGAAGUGAGGUCUUUAUUCCUCUUUUGUCAGAAAAUGAUUCAAAAAUGGACAGUACUUACUACUGCACUCAGUAUAAAAACACAACUUAGUCUCAAAUAUGCAUAUCUUCUCUGUGAUUUAUAGCCGCACUCAGUUACAGGGGGUGACUCCACCAAUUAGGACCAAUGUUUAGUUAUUUUUUUCCCAUGGAAGAGCUUCAUCAUGGAAGGGUGGAAAGUGAAACACUUGCUUCAGUUCCUUUCCCUCUGGUUAGGAAAUCCUCCUGAGAAGUUAAAGAUGUGAAUCUAAACUCUUUGGACUCAAGAAGGGAAAAUAAGGGAAGGGAAAGCUGAACCCUUGGGUGAUGGCCUGUCAUCCUGCUCCAUUUCCAAAGAAACAGUCUGCUCCACAGAUCCUAUAACACCCUCUAACUACCUGCACACAUAUCUUUCACACGUCCUACAAUAGGCUGAAAAAGGAUCCAAAUCAGAUUCCUGUCUGUUUAACUACAGAGGACGUACAAACAGACUAUACAUGAAUCUUUUGUUAGCUAAAGAUAUAUAUAUAUAUAUAUAUAUAUAUAUAUACUUAUAUAUAUUUUUUUUUAACCUAAAAUUUCUGUUUCCAGAUGUGUCCUAGCUCAGGAUGUUGGUUGUUAUAGAAGCCAUUCUGAACAGAUCUCUCUGUAUGGAGCCAGGACGUCUACACAGACUUCAGUUUUGGUGCCAAAAACUUGAAAGGAAUGUUUUAAAACUCAUUUUCAUUGUGUUAAGAACACCCUUUCUGGUUUUGGGGCUGCAGAAUCUUCAGAUAGUGGAUGGUUUGCAUUCUCAUUUCUGCAACAAGGCUGCAAGUUGACACAAGAGCCUUUUGUGGCUUACAUGCUUAAAUCCAGAUCUUCUGCUUAUGUACAGGUGGCCUAAGUAAAAAAACCCGCCUUGAAUUAAUCCUUGUUUUGGAGAAACAGCCUGCAAAUGAAGUGGAAAGAGAACAUCUUUUCUUUCUUUUCUUACAUUAUUUUCCCAUUAAAAAUUAUUUUUCAUGUCAUUGUAAAAGAAUGUAAAACAACAACAACAACAAUAACAACAAAAACACACUUUUUGUGGGAAAAAAAAAGAAAGAACACAAACAACAUAUUCUUCCUCACCCUCUCCUUCCACUUUUAAUGAUGUCCUUAAUUUCUAAUUCUUCUUAUAAAUAUUUCCUCAAUGUAUUUGUAGAUGUUGGUUAUUUUAAUUCUAAGUUAUUUCUGAUUUUGUGUUGAUCAUAGCCCUGAGUUAAGGGCUUACUUAAUAAUAAAAUUAACCAUUAUUGCA
Molecule: long non-coding RNA, 1324 nt
Filed under: Anas platyrhynchos platyrhynchos (common mallard)
Lineage: Eukaryota; Metazoa; Chordata; Aves; Anseriformes; Anatidae
Description: lncRNA (ENSAPLG00000019037.1)
Source: RNAcentral